CUUCAAGCUCCAGGCCUAGAGGGCUGAAAGUGGGGCAGGGCACAGUGCAGAAGGACCGCAGCCCGAAGCGCCCCUGUGGACCCCGGAGCGCUUUGCUCUCCGCUGGCACAAUGGGUACCCGCCGCUCCAAGAACGCGAAGAGAGCAAGAAGGAGGAUGGACUGGACGGCACCCACAGUCGGAGCUUUGGGCCUGCAUCAGAUUUAUUUCCCACUGCAUUCUUUUUAUGAAAAUAACAACAAUGAUGUCUAAAGCUUGUAUGGUAGGCACAAAAUCGGCACACAAUAAUAUAUAUUGAAUUAAAUUUACAUAGAGCUGUUAACCAUCAUGAUUCUUCCUGAGCCUCCACAUUUUGUAGAUUAAUUCAUUAAGUCAUGCAUUAAUUCAACAAAUAUUUAGUGAGCUCCUACUAAGUGACAGAGAAACAGAAUGCCAAGAGCCUGGCCCUCCUGGCACUUACAUUCUCCUGGGACAGAAAGACAGUAAAAAACUCAGACAUGUAAUACGACUGGGUAUUAGGCUGGGUAGCCCUGUGUGCUGUGAAGCAAAGAUUAAGGUGGGUUAGAGAGGGCCUCUCUGGGGAGAAGACAGAGACCUGAAUGAAGUCAGGAAAUGAGCCAUGCAAACUUCUGGAAGGAGAGGGUCCAGGCAGACGUACCUGCCAGUGCCGAGAUGAAGAGUUGGAAAGUGCCUGGGGUGCAGCCUGACAGGGAGGGGAGAGGAAGGAAGUGAGAUGGAAGGUCAGGCCUGGCUUUGUAGGUCUUGGAGGGGAGUUUGGGAUUAUAUAUACUUGGUGUGAUUGGGAAGCCACUUGAGAAGUUUUUUAAAAAAGGACUGACACAACUUGUGUUUUAUAAAAUUAUAAACAAAGACAGAAUUUAACUACCUUGUCCAUGGUUUCCAGGUCUGUGAGUUUCUUAACCCAGACCUCCAGCUUUGUCUCAGUCCAACAUGUCAGAGAUGCAUGCCUAGGCGAGACUGCCCCAGAAGGAGCCCAGGAGACAUCUUGAACGGUACUCCGUUCCUCCCACCCAUACUUUUAGGAAGGUAUCCAGAGUGGGGCAGUGGGUAGGGUCUCUAGAUCUGCCAGCCCGGGAAUCUGGGCUGUGGGCGAGGACUCCCGGGCCUCCGGCUUGAGGAUUCCUGGCUCCCCACCCCACCUGUUGCCUCUGCUCUGCCUACCCUGGGCGUUUUCCGGGCUGUGGAGACUGCGAGGGCCACUCUGACGCGAGAAGGCCCUGGGACUGCUCAGGCUGGUUUUGCACCUGCAACCUGUGGGGAGAGGACGCCUGGGCAGAGAGAGGCUGCCGCUCCAGCGCGGACGUGGGCGCCGUUCUCCAUCCUCUGCUGCCCCCUGGUGGUCUAGGAUAUGGCUGCCGCCUCCAGCCUCCUGCCCACCCAGCGGAACAACCUUCUCGUCUUCUCACCUUCCUUGCCUGGACAAACAAAGGCUCCUUCCCAGAAGCCAAAGGUGGUCACAAAGCACUGAGCUGAUACCACAUGGAAGAUGAGCCUCCAGAGAGGACACUGAGACUUCCUGCCACCAGGAGACUAAGCCAGGACCAGACACACACAGCCUUCCACUGCUGUCCUGGGGCAGGGGGAGGGGUGGAGGGAGCAAGGCUGCUGGGAGCUCUGACGUCCUCACAAUCCACUCACUUCAACAGUCAUGAAAAUAUUGCCAUCUUAUUUUACCCAAGUGCAUUUUAUUGUAAAAAUAUUCCAACAAUGCAGAACACGGAGUAAAAUGUGAAAGUCCCCCUUCACACACACCCCCACCCCUACCCAGACUUAGCUCCUGUUAGCAUCAUGAGGCAAUCCUUACACACUCUCCCCUGUUUUUACACACACACACACACACACACACACACACACUGUAUCUAUGGAUAUAGAUUUAUCUUCAUUUUAACUCAUAUUAAUGAGGUACUAUGACUAUAUGUGUCACUCAGCAGCUUGACUUUUUUUUGCACCUAAAUGUUUUGGUGAGCUGAUCUAUGUACAUCAGUACACACAGAUCUGCCUCAUUCUUUCCAACCUGUUGCACAGUGCCCUGUACUAGUGAGGAAACAUCACUUACUUAGCUCCUUUCCUUGUCAUGGUCAGUUGAUUUAUUUCUCAGUUUCAUUAUUAUGUAAAAUGUUGUGACACAUAGCCUUUUAUUUCCCUCGCUGUGCACAUGUGACUAUGUUCUCUCAUGUAGACCCCAGGAAUGAUUGAAUUGUUUGCAGGAAGGGGAUGCCUGUUUAAUAGUUGAUAAAUCUGGACAAAUUGAUUUCCUAAAAGGAUGCGCUAAUUUAUAUGUCCGCCAACAGCUUUUGAGACUGCCCAUUUUCUCACAACCUUAUCACCACUGGAAAUGACCAAUCUUUCAAAUUCUUAU
This is a long non-coding RNA of Orcinus orca (killer whale), 2379 nucleotides long. RefSeq lists it as uncharacterized. The record is from RefSeq and is a predicted model, not a curated record. Lineage: Eukaryota; Metazoa; Chordata; Mammalia; Artiodactyla; Delphinidae. The transcript has 3 exons.